ACUGAUAUACCCAAUGUGCCUAGAAACUAUCAAAUUCUGUAUAAGCGCAUAUAUAUUAACUAAGUUGGAAAACCUCCGAGUUAUCAUAAAAUUAUAAUUCCCUAGAAUACACCAUAAUCAAACCACCAGAAUACCAAAAAUCCUCCUAUUCAAAAACUAAAACUCAGGUUUAUGGAAUAUUUGUUCUCGACUCUAUUGCAAUAUUAGAAUUUCUAUACACAAAAUGAAGGAAACAAUUAAUAAAAAAAGAAAAUAAAUUUUCAUCCCCCUUUUUUAUAGGAUAAUCAAUAUGAAAUUACUCAUGUAGAACAUAUCUGUGAAAAAUUGGAGCUAUUUGUGGUUCUAGAGUAAGUCCAUGACCUUGUCAAUAAAAUAUUGCGAGUGAGUACCUCUCAUGGAUAACCAACCUAUACUUCAAACAGGUAUUAAAAAUCUAGCUGGUAUUUUACAAACUAUAAUACAUGAAUGACUCAUCUUCAAUUCUAUAAAUCGUCCAAUUCCUUCUAAUACAAUAAUUUGAUGAGGUGCCCAUAUAAAGCAGUAGACCCCUGAUGAUGGAGUUGUAGGAGAUCAGAUCAGAUCCUUGCACCCUAGAACU
This 598-nucleotide long non-coding RNA is filed under the name Panax ginseng (ginseng). RNAcentral's name for it is "long non-coding RNA (PGIN_LNC019156)". The record is from RNAcentral. Lineage: Eukaryota; Viridiplantae; Streptophyta; Magnoliopsida; Apiales; Araliaceae.